UUGUCUCCAGCUAGCAUGUACGUACCAACUGAGAUGCAUGCAUGCGUAUAUCAGCAUAUGCUUUAUUACUGCUCAGUUACCCUUGAAUCUAGCAGUGCUUUUGGUGAGAGGGUGCAGUUUACUUUAAACAUAUGGGUUUGUGACUGUAAAUAGUAUUUUUAACUAGGAGUUAUAUCUGGUAAGUAAAUUAAUUAAUGGGAGGAUGCAUGAAUAAAGCCGCUCUUGUGCUGCUGAUGCAUGAUAUAUUGGAUCAUGAGCCUCAUUUUUAAACCAAUGUUUCAGCGAUUUCAUAGAUAUAUGGAUCGAGGACCUGCACAUGCAUGGUUCAUAUUAUAAAAUAAAAUAAAAAUACUUAUAUUGCAUUGGUCUGCUGGGAUUUUGUGAUAUUUGGUGCCAUGCAUGUGGCUGUCUAGACAAUGGAGAAAUUUCCACAUGUUCGUAACUAGAUGUCGGAUGGUAGGGAGCUUAUAUAAUAUAUGAUCUAUGUUACUGUGUGCAUAUGAUGUGACAGUAGCAAUGUCAGUGUCAUCGAUUGGUUCCUUGUUCUCUUUUUGGUGGCUACCGCACAUGCAUGCGUAGUGUGUCUCCGCAAAGGGGAAAACUGGCAUGAUGACCGGAUGUGCUCUUCAUUCUUGUUAGGGUUUUCAUAGCCUUAGCAGCAUGGAACAGGACAGGGCCGUCUCAAGAAUUCCAAGGGCCCUUGGGCAAGCGAGUAAUAACGGCCUAGCAAACUAAUCUUUUACAAUCAACUUUCUUCAUUCUAAAUUAUAAAUUAUUCCAAGAAUAGAGUCAAAGUAUUUUCAAAUUUAACCAAAAUUAUAGAGAAAAAGUACUAAGAUUUAUAACAUAAUGAAAAUAUAAAAUAAAGAAGAAUCUAAUGAUACUUAAUUGUUAUCAUAAUAAUUAUUAUUUUAUCAUAUAAAUUUGGUCAAACUUUAGGAUAGUUUGACUCUCUAAGAUUCUUUGAAUGACUUAUAAUUUGGGAUGGAGGGAGUAAUUGGCAUGGCUCGGACUGCGGCAUCACCUCUGAGCCAUGGGAUCCUUACCGAUCACUUUUGGAGGAUGGUUUGUUUUCUGGUGAACACUAGAGGAGCUAGAGCCGUUUUUGAAACUGAAUGACAGGCUAUAAUUCGUGGCUUCUACCAAGUGCUCCGAAAGAGGUGUCAUUUCAAAUAAGACCUUAAUAUGAUAAUUAAAGUAUACAAUACUAGUAAUAAAAAAAUAACUUACAACAUAUAUUGGAAGCGAUUGGGAGUAGCUGAAUAUCAAAACAGGAAGUGAUGCAAGCUAAUUUCUGAUUAAUUACUUAUGAUAAAUGUAUGAAUCUUUAAAAUUUUAUUUCGUUGGUCAAAUAUAUUACUAUAUAAAUAUUAUAUACAUACAUAAACUUAUAGGCCCCCUCGUGGCAUGAGCCCGUGGCCGUCGCACCGGCUGCCCAUACCCCUAAGACGGCCCUAGAACAGGAACAUGACCUAUAUCCCUGUUCUUAUAUAUGUAUCUGUUCCACGUUCGAAAAUAUCUACGUCUCAGAAACAGAAAUGUUCUCGUUUCCUUUCCUGUUCUGGGAACAGGGGUAGGAUGGGAACAUGGCUGUUAAGUUCAUAGCACAUUGCUAUAACUACAAAGUUAAAAUCAGCUUGAUAAUAGUACUUGAUAAUUGAGGACACACUGUUUUCUUUCUUUUAAAACAUACAUUUUCUCUUAAAUAUACCGGAUCAAAAUGAGCCUGGCCUGACCUGGUCCGUGGGUGUGGCCCAAGCCUGGUCGGUUUUAGCCUGCCCUUGAACCUUAGGGCCUGUUUAGAUUGGGAACGAAAAUUUUUUGGGUGUCACAUCGGAUGUGUCGGAAGGAUGUCGGGAGGGGUUUUUAGAAACUAAUAAAAAAACAAAUUACAUAGCUCGUCAGGAAACUGCAAGACAAAUUUAUUAAGCAUAAUUAAUCUGUCAUUAGCAUAUGUGGGUUACUGUAGCACUUAAGGCUAAUCAUGGAGUAACUAGGCUUAAAAGAUUCGUCUCGCGAUUCUUAACUAAACUGUGUAAUUAGUUUAUUUUUUUAUCUACAUUUAAUGUUCCAUGCAUGUGUCCAAAGAUUCGAUGGGAUGGAUCAAAAAAAUUUUGGGUAGGGAACAGGGCCUUAUUGGACAGGGUCUAGAUAGAGACUCCGCUAUCCAAAAAAAUUUCUUAACCUGAGCCUGGUCCAAAAUACUUCUUUUGCUAUUUUAUGAUAUGAAAUGUGCACGCCUAGGCUUGGGCCCAUCCCAAAAAAUUAAACUGGACUUAUCCAAUGGGACGGUCAUGUGCGGGACUUUUUUGGCCCAAUAUAAUGGGGAUUUUUUUGUCUAGACUAGCCCGCAAUAUGGUUAGUUUAGGACUGUCUUAUAGAAAGAGAGAGGGGAGGUGACCGUGCGGCUUGCCCACGUUGGGACAUGAGACAACGACCGUUCCUAUGCGGUCGGUGCUUUCGGAUGAUGAUGAGUAUGAUGCGUGGCUGGGCUGGCACGGUGAUUUUCUUUUUUUAUUUCUAACCCUUUUUUAAACUAUUUUCUAAUUUGACAUUGAAUUUUUUUUCAAAACUAACCUAUUUGGCCGUGCCACCAUGCAUGGCGCGGUAUUAUAACACUACCGCGCCAUGCAUGGUGGCACGGCAGGGGCGGCCAUGUGGUGUCCCUCGAUGGCUGGUGGUGACGUGGCCUCCCCAAUCCGUUUGAACAACUAGAAUCUUUCUAUUGAACUAUCGUUCAACCAUGGAUGAAAAAUCAUAAAAUUUUUGAAAAACUUCAGAUUUAUAACGUAAAAGAUAAAUCCAUAUGAAUUUGCUAAAGUCAUCAAUAAAGCUAACAUAGUAGUUAUUUCUGCCAAUAGAGGUAAGCGCAGAGCCCCAUAUAUCUGAAAACACAAAUUCAAGAGGUCUAGAUGAGACACUGUUUGACACAUGAUAAGGCAAUUGAUGACUUUUGCCUUGUUGACAGGUAUCAUGCACUUGUUCUUUAUUGGACUCUUGAACAAAAGGCAUACGACUCUUGCUAAGGAUCUGUUGAACUACUGACAGUGACAGAUGACCAAGACGGCUAUGCCACCUAGACAUGGAGGGCUUGGCGGCGGCAUGCGUCUCUUUAUUGAAAGAAGACCUAAGCAUCUUCAGCGGACUAAGCCCUCCUUCCCAAUCUCCUCUAAGCAGAGUUUUCUUCAUGUCCAGAUCCUUGAUAAAAAACAAUCGGGAUGAUAUUCAAUAAAAACAUUGUUAUCCGAUGUAAGGCGAUGGACGGAGGCAAGGUUUUUGUUAGCUUGUGGAACAUAGAGAACAUUAUUAAGAAUAAGAUCUCGACAAGGGGUACGAACCAAACUACGACCGAUUUGACUGAUUCUCAUACCUGCGCCGCUGGCGGUGUGCACCAGGUCGGUGUCGUGAUACUUGUCACGGGUAGUGAGCUUCUCUAGCUCGCCAGUGAUGAGACCGGUUGCCCUGUGUCGGUGUACCUGUUCGUAUCUAUGCCGUAGGAGGUUGUAGUUGAUAACGCUUGACGCUGCUCGGUAGGUCCAGUGAAGGAGCUGUCAAAGCGCUUGUAGCACCACAGCACGGUGUGGCCUCCUUGCCGCAGAGCUGGCACGUGGGGCGGUCACCAUUGGAGUUCUAAGGGUGUGAAAGCCCAAGUUUGGUUUUGGUAAUUAAUGACACCAAGUUGCUAAUGCCUUAUGUUUAAGUGAUUUGAGUUAGGCAUAGCAACACAUGUGAUGAAGGUGCAAGGUAGCAUGGAAAGGUGGCCACACGAUUACAAAGAGAUGAAGCUUGAUGUGGAGAUCAUGAUGAUAAACAAGGAAGAAAGUGAUCAAGACAAAGGUAUAAACAUAGGGUUUUACUUUUGCUGGUCUUAGUUGAGUAGAGAAGUGAUUGACCGGAUUUAGGAUAGAUAGCCGACUAUCAAGAGGGGAAAUCACGGUCAUCUCUUGAAUCAAGUGCUACUAGGUCCAUAUCUUGAGCAUAUGCAUUAGGAUCUAGUAAAGUGCUAACCUAACUCCUUUGGCGAAAAUGUUUGUAAAAAGUUAACGCACAUGCACUUUGGUGGAGGACACUUGUUGGUGUUAGCACAUUUACAAAGGAGGUUGAGUUCCUAGGGUAGAGAGGGGUGUGGGUUCCUCUCUCCCUCCCGCCGAGCUUGCUCGGCGGGAUUCGGCGCUUUUGAGAAAAAUAAGUGUAUAUUUUCUAUUGCGCCGGUGGGAAAUUUGGAGAAGUCGCGGGAGUGUUUUACCGGACGCAGUGCGCGGAGGCACCGGACGCUGGCCUGAGCGUCCGGUGUGCUGUCAGUGCUUGGCCUGUUAGGGUUGAGCACCGGACGCACUGCACCGGACGCAGGGUGUUCCCUGUUCUUGCGUCCGAUGUGACCUGACUUAGCAGAGGGUGUCUGACUGAGAGCACCGGACGCUCUGGGUGCGUCCAGUGGUGUGCGUCCGGUGUGGGGGGUUUUGCAACCCUCUCUGCGCAUGAGUCCGGUGCUCACCGGACCGUCCGGUGCCCAGAGUCCGGUGAUGUCGUGAGUUUGACAAACUCUCUGCGCACGAGACCGGUCAGUACCGGACGCGUCCGGUGCUCACUUAACCACGUCCGAUGGUUCGCAGGUAGCCGUUAGAAAUUGACGCGCGAGAUUCAACGGAGGAUACGUGGCCAACCCCAGAGCACCUGACGCAGGGGGUCGACCGUCCGGUGCUCACUUGGUAGCGUCCGGUGCCUCCGACUAUAGCCCAUGGAAAGUGGCCAACGACUAGUUCUUUGAGGGGGCUUAUAAAUAGUUGGUGGUCGGCUUUGGGAGGCUCACUAUUGCACAUUUGAUUACUUGAGACAUACAUUGAGCUAGAGAACACUCCUUCCACUCAUCUCCUUGCUUGAUUGCUAGUCCUAGUGAGAUUGAGUGAGAUUCAAGUGCAUUGCUUUGAGAGUUGCAUUUAGUGGCACUUGAUUCUUGAGUUUGCUGCAGAUUUCUUGUUACUCUUGGGUGUUUCCCGGCACCCUAGAUGGCUUGGAGCUGCGGUGGUGUUGAGCUCGUGAUUGGAGAUUGUUUCGAGCCUCGCCAAGUGAUUUGUGAGGGGUUCUUGAGCCUUCCCCGCGGGAGAUCGCAAUUGGCUACUCUAGUGGAUUGCUCGUGGCUUGGAGGAUCCCCAUCUUGUGAGUGGAUGUGUGGCACCCGCUGAGGGUUUGGCUUUGGAUUGCCAAUUAGCUCGUGAUCCAUCAAGUGGGUGUAUCGCCACAACGAGGACUAGCUUGCCAGGAAGCAAGUGAACCUCGGUAAAAAAUCUUGUGUCAUCUCUUGCCGAGGAUUCUCUUGUAAUUGUGAUUGAUUGAUUGGCUAUAUUUCUACUCUACAACGUUGAUAUAACAAUCACUCCCCUCUCCUUUACUUAUGUGCAUACCUUGCUAGUUGUAUAGCUUGUUUAGCUUAGCUAUCUUGUUUAGGAGUGUAGCAAGCUUCUAGUUGUGCUUUCUUGUUGUAACUAGUGUUUAACUUUCUUGCUAGACUUAUGUAGGUGGCUUGCAUAGCUUAGUUGUGCUAGUGCUAGAAUAUCUUCGCCUUUUAUUUUACUAAUCAACUUGUCUAGUUGAAGUUUGUAGAAAAUUUAAAUAGGUUAUUCACCCCUCCUCUAGCCAUUUGGACCUUUCAGGGUGACCACCAUUACCAUAGUUGUUGCCUCGCCCAUGUGCACGGCCUCCACGUCCACGACCACCAUCGCCAUGACUGAAACCGCCGCGGCCACCUCCUCGAGCAGCAGUGUUCGCCGAAGAGCCAGAGCCACCAUGAACAAGGUCCAUGCGUUGUUCCCAACUCACUAGCUGGGUGUAGAGGUCGCUGAGGGUGAGAGGCUCGACACAGGACGCCAUGGAGGACACGACAGGGUCAAAGGUGGUGUCGAUUCUAGUGAGGAUGUACGAGGCAAUUUCCUCGUCCUCCGGUUUCUUGCCGUCGGCAGCCAUGUUGUCGGCGAGGGCUUUCAUCUUGCUGAAGAAGUCGGCAAUCGUAGAUGAUCCCUUCUACGCAGUAGCUAGCGCCAUGCCCGUGUUUAUCACACAGCCACGAGACUGCGAAGCAGUCAUAUCCCAGAUCGUCUUCUAGAUCUCGGCGGCGGUGGUGUAGGUCGACACUUGGACCUGAACAUCGCUGGACACAAAGGAGAUCAAGUAAUUGAACACCUGCUGAUCCUUUGAAACUCACGUUGCGUAGUCGGGGUUGGGGAUGAGUUCGUCGGGCUUGUCAAUCGACUUGGGGAUCAGCUGGGUCGGCAUCGCCGCCGUCUCUGCGUCAUGGAGGUGCGCCAUCUGCGCACCAGAGAGAAAAAUUGUUUUUGGUGAGCUUCUCCGUGACCGGGCACCCUAUCAGAGAGUACGAUGCAAGAUGCACAGAAGAAGACGCCAUUGAUGAGUUUGUGGACUAACCUAGCUCUGAUUACCAUGUGAAGAUGGUUGUAACGUGAUCCUUCUCAGGGUUACGGCUCCAUGUUAAUAUAGCUGAGAAAAGACCCCGGCGUGGCACUUACAACUUGAUAGUCAAGGAAUGAAUCUAGACACUAAGAUACAACAGAUGGAUUACAACAAACUUCAACAACCUAGCAUUAUCUUAUGUUUUUUUUGAAGGGAAUCAGUAGGGAAAUCCCCUACCUAUAUUUUUUUUGUAUUUUAAUUGAAUAAAGGAAUGUACUGUACAAGAAGAAAAAAAGCAAAGCAGAAAUAAAUUACAAGGCCCAUAGACCCAAAAGAGAAAAAAAGCUCAGAGGAAACUAUCUCUCCAGACUGUUAGUGGGACUCUUCUCUUUUCGUUGGCCUUGAUGCACACCAAGUCCAAUUCAUCCUUGAGUCUACUUCUCCAGAGUGACAGGCUACAGGAUCCACUAUCAAAAAUGAUGGAAUUUCUCAAAGUCCAUAAAACCCAGCAACCAGUAAUGACUAUGGAGCCGUAACAACCUGCCUUGGUGAGGGGAUUAACACGCCACCAUUCAUGAUCUGAUGUCUUGCAUAUCAAGUAUUUCAACACUUGGGACGGUGAUGAGUCUGAUGGGGCUAGGGCUGGCGCGACAAGUGAAGGAAAAAAAAGAGAAAAUGAAUAAAUUAUAAUCUAGCAGGCAGUCCCCAUGUAUUAUUAUACAGAACUAUCUCUAAUAAUUCAAAAGGUGGCAUUGGACCAAUACGUUACCGCUUUACUAGAGAAUUUUAUGCUGCUAUAGAGAGAUUCUCGUAUACCCGAGCACUUAGCUCCACUACUGGCUUCCUCUAAGCCUAAUUUUGGAGACAAAAUACAUAAAAGUUAUGCAAACUCAUCCCAAAACAUUUGUAUGAAGUUCCUUGCUACAACAUUGUGAUACUAACUUAUGCAAAAUUAAAAGGGUUUGGAUUUAGUUGAAAUAAAAAAAAAACAUGGUACAGCAAGAUGGAGUCGGUCAUAAAUUAAAAAAAAACAUGUAAAAUGGUGGCCAGUGACGCGUGAGUGAGGAAAUUAAAAGGCCAGUCGUGCACAAGAAUUUGAAGAUUGGAUCAUAUAAAAGAGCCCACAGCUCUCCACCAGUUCACCUGAAUAUGGCAGGGCAGGACUAAAUCCGACAAGCGUGUAUGGCCUGUCGCGCCUGAUGCCAACUUAGGCUCAGGCCCAGGCUCAUGCCCGGCGCUUUUCGACUUUACCGUCUCCAAUAUCCUUGGGACAGAAGCCCACAGAAGCUUGGACCCCAUUGUUUAAGCAAUUAUUUUGACGUCUCCCUUCACAAUUUUGUCCACUCUACUACUAGUCUACGAUACCGUUUUCCAUUAAAAAACCUCCCUUCAUCCUAAAUUAACAAUCAAAGUCAAAGCAUCUUAAAUUUGAUUAAACUUAUAUAAUAAGAUAAUGAUAUUUAUGACAUCAAAUAAAUAUUAGCUUAGUAGGUUCUUUCUUAAUUAUGUUUUCAUUUAUAGUAUAUAUCUAUUUGAUGCCAUAAACUUUUGUAAUUUUCACUGUAUUUUUUUGUCAAACUUUAGAUACUUUAACUCCAAGAAAGUUAAAAUAAGUUAUAAUUUGGAAUGUAAUACUACACUGUUGUUAGAAUUAAAUGCUUGUAAGCUAAGCUAUUGUAACUUGUAAAACAAGUUGUACAUGCCAAGCUAGGGGCUGUUCUUAGCUAUAUAAACACGAAGCCAUGAGUUUGAGAGGGUAUCACUUUCCACCAAACUUUAAAUAGUAUUAGGGCUAGAGGUCUCGAGUUCGAAUUUUGACGAGCGUGAGUAAACAAAAUAACUGUAACCCGCUCCAAUUUCCACUUGCGGCCUAAGGGAGCAUGUACAUGAGGGGCAGUUUUGGAGUAUAAGUUAAUUGCCCAUAUUUUCCUAUUAGCUUAAGCUUUUGAGACGAAUUGGUUGGAGCAUGCAACUCAAUAUGGUAUAGCUUAAACAGUAGUUGCUCUCCUUCAUGAUUUUGAGAAGGAGAUCGCCAUCAAGAUAGGGUCUUGGUGAUUUGCACUAUUUUCUUGGAAUAGAAGGUAAGAAGAAAAAGGGUGAACUCUUGAUGACGCUAGAAAGAUAUGCAUGCAUGUGACAUUCUUCAACGUGUCAACAUGCAAGUUGUCUCUGGUGGAUGCAUGGGGAUAAAUUGUGACCGAAUGAUUCUGCUAAUUAUAGGAGUAAGUAUUGUCAGCAGGGCACUUGAAUAGUUGCAUGUUGACACAAAUAUAAUAUCUGGCCGAAUAAGGUAUCCACCAAACUUUACGGGUACCAAUUUGUGCUGCAUGGGGUGGCUUGUCUCCAAUAUUUGUGCGUUGCCUUUGCAGUGCCUUGCAUGCGUGAGUGCAUUCGCAUGCAUUGUCCUAGAAGCUAAGCUAAGACACGGUCAAAUUAACCAUUCCAUGUAUAGCCUGAGGCUAGGAAUCCGCCAGCUGUACAUUCGAGACCGUCAGCAAGGACCGGCCGGGUCGGAUCGCCGGGAGGCACAUGCAUGGCAAUAGCUAGCUGAAUCACAAGGGAGAGAGAGGGGACGUACGUACUUCUUGCUGCUUGCCGGCCGGCGACCAAGGAAGAAAUCGCGUCGUCCUGCUCUGAUUAGAACACAGCAGGUCUCGUCGUCGUCGUCGUCGGUGAAUCGAAGAAGGAGCGCUAGCUGCCGGCCGGCGGCAGGGGAGAGCGAUCGAGCAGAUCAUGUCUACGCUGCCAGGAGGCUUCCUGUCCGUGCGCGUCCUGCGAGGGAUCAACCUUGUCAGCUGCGACGCCAAGGGCAGUGACCCCUACGUCGUGAUCAGCCUGGAUGGCCAGGUACGUUACGUAUAGCUCUGCGAUCGACGCAACACUAGCUACUGCAUUGUUGUUCGUUGCUAGCUAGCUGCUCUGAUUCUUGUGUGUGCUUGCUUUGUCAAUUUGUCAUCGUCGCCAUGCAUAUAUAUGCAGAAACUGAAGACGAGUGUGAUGAAGAAGACGGUGAACCCAGUGUGGAACGAGGAUCUAACCUUGGCAGUCAUGGACGCGUCAGCACCCAUCAAGCUAGUGAGCACCGAUCAUCUGCUUGCAUAAUUCAUGCUGAAUGUCAUGCAUUCAAUUCAUUCAGUUCAUCACCAUCCCCGGCCUACUCGAUUGAUCGGAUCAUGCAUGAAAUGAAAUAAAUAAAAUAAAACAGGAGGUUUUCGACAAGGACACGUUCAGCAAGGACGACAUGAUGGGGGACGCGGAGUUCGACAUCGAGGCGCUGGUGCAGAUGAUACAGAUGGACCUGGAGGACAUCCGCAGCGGCACCGUCGUCCGCACCGUGCGCCCCGGCGGCAAGGACAGCUGCCUCGCCGACGAGAGCCACAUCAUCUGGGACAACGGACAGGUCGUCCAGGACAUCCUCCUCAAGCUCAGGAACGUCCACACCGGCGUCGUCCACCUGCAGCUCAAAUGGGUCACCAUCCCAGGUAAUAAACUAGCUAAUUAAUUAAACAUAUAUACAUAUAUAAGAUUACAUUUUUCUUUUAUUUUCUUUUGCAAUUGUAGAUUAAACACGUACCAGUUCUAACGAAUUCCCCUUCCUCGCCGUCUUCGACGAUCUGCAGACUGAAGAAAGUGAUCAUCAGCUGCUCCGAUCCCCGGCCAUGACGAACUCUCGUGAUAAUUAAACAGUGUAGUACUAUGCAAAAUUACAAUGUUGAAGAUGUCAUUGUAUUUUAGUAGAGCCACGUCCACGUACAUUGUCAAUUCGAUCUCACUGUAACUUUUGAUAUGGAAUUAAUUUAUCAAUCAGGCAAUUGCAUGACCAAGAAAUUUUGUUGUUGUGAAUGCCGGCGAGCGAACUGAGAUGCGGCUGCACGCAACGGAGAUGAGAUUGACAUUGGUAGGGCCGUCGUGGACAUGGGCUUCGUGGGUGGGAGUUUCCUUUCUGAAUCCAACAAGGCCCAAGGAAGACCAAACGGGUGUUAAGUUUGAGCCCGUAUAAGAGAGCUUACUUCCGAACGAAAGCCCAAUUAAUCUUCCUCUCGGCUCAGCUUGAGGGCACUCUUCUAUCCUCGAGAUUGGCCUCAUCUUGCCUCUACACAUCAAAAUAUAUUGUAAGGGAUAGGGAUGGCAACGGGGAAUUCUCCGUCGGAGGAUGGCUCUCCAUCUUCGUCCCCGCGGGCAUAAAAUUUUCCCGUCCCCGUCCCCGUUAAGACCGUCGGGGCUUGAGUUUGCCCCAUCCCCGUCCCCGAGCGGGGAAUUAAUCCCCGCGGGGAUCCCAUCCCCGUUUCAACGACAUAGCCAUAUUCCAUUGAAUAAAAGUGUAGGAGGAGAACAAAUUGAAUAUCAUGAAAUUCCAAUAGCUUCCAACACAAAAGUGAAACCAUUGCACAAGCACGUUGUACAUACAUCAGUAGUUCAACAAAUCUUACAUACAUCAUCGAACUCACAAAUGGAUCUAGCAGCACAUAGAUCUAGACGGCAGGAGCAUCAUUAUACAUACACCAAAUAAGAUAUCAAAGUUGUAUUUUGGAGACUGUGUUGUUGUCCUAAACGACUUCUAAAUCCUAUGUGGAGCGAGUAUAUAAAAAUUGUACGACCUAUUUCGAAGGGUAGUUUUAAUUGAGAUCAGACAUGUAGUUGCUCACUUAAUAUUGUGAUAUAAAUAUGAUAAUUAAGCGUAAUUAUAUCCCUAGGGCCUAUGACUAACUUGGUAGAAAAAAAUAAUAAUAUCUAUGACAUAAAAUACGUAUUUUAUAAAAAAAAUAUUCUAUAAUAAAUCUAUCGAUACUAAUUUAAAUCUUUAAUAUUUUUUUCUAAAAAAAUGAUUGAAGUUUUAAAAUUUAACUAAAGAUAAUUUUAGAAAUUGAUUUUUUUAUGGACGAAUGAAGUAGUAAAGAACUGCACCAACCCUUUAGCCGAGCCUACAGAGAUGCUAGGAGAAUUGUGGUUAUGAAAAAGAAAAUAAGGGAGUGGAGGGGGUGUCGUCGGCGUGGGCCACUUUCAACGCCGUGCGUGCACGUGCACGUGCACGUGCAGUGAAGACAGGCCAGCCGGGUAGGUAGCGGACGGACAGCGGUUGAGGACUUGAGGUUGAGGUGGUGAUCUGUGGGCCCCGCCGCCGGUGAUCUCCAGCCACCAGUUUCGCAGUGGUCCGGUUGAGCCGCGCGCCCGCAUUUAAGGCCGAUUAGAGAUCAAAAUUUUUUUUAUGUGUCGAAAUAAUGUCGGGAGGGGUUUUUAGAAACUAAUAAAAAAACAAAUUACAUAGUUCAUCAGGAAACUACAAGACAAAUCUAUUGAGCAUAAUUAAUCUAUCAUUAGCACAUGUGAGUUACUAGCACUUACAGGUAAUUAUGGAGUAACUAGGCUUAAAAGAUUCAUCUCACGUUUUUCAAUCAAACUGUGUAAUUAGUUUAUUUUUUUAUGUACAUUUAAUGUUCCAUGUAUGUGUCCAAAAAUUCGAUGGGAUGGAUAAAAAAAAUUUGGGUGGGAAACUAAACAGGGCCUUAUGACUAUCGUUUUUUUUUCUUUUCUUUUUUUACCUGCCUGUGUUGGGGUCGUAUGUCGAAAAUUACUGUUCGCUGAUUUAUUGUUUGAAAAAUACUGUUGAAUGACGGGUGGAUUCGACAUGUAAGCUCAAGCAAACAGGCUUAGUAGAUUUGUUAAUUUAUUGUGAGAGAAAAAUACGAUUCGCUGAUUUGUUACAUACAUCGACAGUUAGAUUACCCAACAACAUUUUGGUUUGUCACCGGUGAUAGGCUUGAGGCCUUGUUUAGUUCAUGAAUUUUUCUGAAUUUGGUUACCAUAGCAUUUUCGUUUUAUUUGGUGAUUAGUGUUCACAAAGGAUUUAUCUCGCAAAUUACAUACAAACUGUAUAAUGAAUUAUUUUUUUAUCUAUAUUUAAGAUUGAGGCAUGUUUAGUUCUCACCUAAAAACUUUCCCCAUCAUAUGAUUAUGUACAUACAUGUAUGGGGCAUUAAAUAUAAAUUAAAAACAAACUAAUUGUAUAAUUUGUAUGUAUUUUGUGAGAUGAAUUUUUUAAGCCUAAUUAGUUUGUAAAUGUACACUAACUUUUAUAGAUACAAAUAUGCGUACCAAAAACUUUUCUUGAGGACUUGUUUAGUUCCCAAAUUUUUUUUUGUUUUGGGAUACUGUAGCACUUUCGUUUUUAUUUGGCAAUUAUUAUCCAAUCAUAGACUAACUAUAUUUAAAAAAUUCAUCUCGCGAUUUACAGGCAAACUAUGCAAUUAGUUUGUGUUUUUUUAUCUAUAUUUAAUAUUCUAUACAUAUGCCGCAAGAUUCAAUAUGAUGCGGAAUCUUAAAAAAACCUUGGCUACUUUGGCCUUGUUUACUUGCACCAAAAAAUCCAAAAAUUUUCAAGAUUCUCCAUCACAUCGAAUCUUUAAACGCAUGCAUAGAGUAUUAAAUAUAGACGAAAAUAAAAACUAAUUACACAGUUUGGUCGAAAUUGACGAGACGAAUCUUUUGAACCUAGUUAGUCCAUGGUUGGACAAUGGGCUGCCACGAUGUCAACGACGGGUCCCACUGGCGAACGUGGACACAGGACGCGUGGCCAAUGGUGGAUGGGCCCGGCCUGGCAGUCACAGAUCCGUGGGCCUGACUCCGGUCAACCUGGCCGGCCGCGUUUGCGUCGCGCGGAAGCGGAAAUACGGAGGGAUUCCAUUCCCAUCCGGCACACGGUGGUGGCGGCGGCAACGCCCAACCACGACCUGCCCUCGCGGUGUUUUUUUUUUUUUUCUUUUUCCAGUCCAUCCUCUUACGCGUUGGCGUGCGUCCCCAACCAACCAAACAAGUCCCUUCCUUCCGCGACUCUUCUCUCUUCUCUUCUCUCGCAGGGGACCAAGGAGCAGGAGGAGGAGCUUCAGCCAUGGGCGGCGGCAACGGCCAGAAGUCCAAGAUGGCGCGGGAGAGGAACGCCGAGAAGAACAAGGGCUCCAAAGGCACGUCUAUCCCCAUCCAUCCCCCCGAUUCCCCCUCCCUUGCUCACAAAUCCAAUCCCCAUUCGAUCUGAUUCCUGUCCAUCGAUUUCCUCUCUGUAUUUGCUUGCAGGCAGUCAGCUGGAGACAAACAAGAAGGCCAUGAACAUCCAGGUGCGUACCCAGUCGUCACCGCCGCUCGAGCCCUCCCGAUCUGUCUCUUUACAGUCCUCUUGUUUGCUUGAAAUUCGGGGGUUUCCCUUCCCGGAUUCAGGCUGCUCCAUCUGGAUUCGGCGCAACCAGUGGCCAGCCCACGACGCGGCGCGAUUCUCAUCCAUUCCCUCUCUUGCUGCUCUGCUCCUCUUUACUGCAACCUGUAGAUAGCAGUGGAAUGGUCACUGUAUUACUACUUUUGAUGAUUUUGUUAUUGUUUUGCACCUAGGAUAGGAUUAGGGUUUACGAACCUUGCUUUGCUUUGCUUGCUUCAACUCCCAGCUUGGGAGCUGCCGAGGUGCCCCCUCACCCUCUGUAAUGUCAAACGCUGCAUUUGAUUCCUCCCUAGAUACAAAGGGGCCAGGCAGGGGAUUCAAUCCAACACGUCGUCUUCCAUGUUGGGGGUGGCAGGGGGGAGGAGAAAUUCAGCCCUGCACACCACCCACACUUUUACUUACCUGCCACUUGCUUGCAAUUCAUACUAGAUCUCCUACGGUUCCGAAAGCCACAUCUGUAGGUUCGAAUUGGCUGCUGCUGCAGCAGCAGCAGCAGCACCUGCAGAUAAAUGGCCAUCACAUCUCUGUUAAAAGAAAAAACAAGAUAGCGUCGAUGAGUCUAGUCAAUGGGUGAUAAUGUGUCACUCUUGUUCAGGAACAUCAGCAGAUACCCCGGACUCUGGAGGGACAAUAGAAUCACUACUGAAACCUGUUGUGUGAAUUGCUAGUUACUAGCUGCCAUUUCUCUCAUUGGCCAAAUGUAUGUACCCAGAAUUUUUGAACUUGAACAAUGUUUGUUUGUGUAGUUGUGGUCUGGUAUUUCAGUUCUCAUCAGUUGGUCAUCUGAAAAAUGCUUACAUCCAAAUGCACUAACCAUGCUUCCUUCUGAACGCAGUGCAAGAUCUGUAUGCAGACUUUUAUCUGCACCACCUCUGAGGCCAAGUGCAAAGAGCAUGCCGAGGCGAGGCAUCCCAAGAAUGACCUCUACCAGUGCUUCCCCCACCUCAAGAAUUAGUAAGCAGCAGCAUAUGCUUCCUCAGACAAGGGGCAUAUGCUCAGCUCAACAAAGAGAGAAAAGUGUCGUCAUCCACCAAGUACUGUCGUCUUCAUCAGUGACUGGUUGCCAUAUACUAUGUGUCAAUGGGUCUCAGCUGCUGUUGCUGUUGCUGCAGCUGCUUUCGGUUGUGUUGCCCCAUCUAAAUAUGUAAUGUAAUCCUUCGCUGUCAGCCUGUUGUGCUAAAAACAUUAAUUCUGUGUGGGCUAAGAACAUUAAUUCUGUGUGGAUUUGUGAUGCCUGUCUGUGCUUGCUCAGUAUUUUCUUUUCCCUCUGUUCUUUGGUGUGAAUUUGGGACCUUACAGGGAGCCAUUUAUGUCUCUCUUUUUUUCCCCUCAAAGAACGUAGAACUGCCAUUUAUCUCUGUUCUUUUUUCUUUCCCUGUGUUCUUAGGUGUGAAUUUGGGAACAACAUAGAACGUGUCUUUUCAAAGAUCAUUAAGAAAGAAGGGA
Molecule: long non-coding RNA, 15055 nt
Filed under: Sorghum bicolor (sorghum)
Lineage: Eukaryota; Viridiplantae; Streptophyta; Magnoliopsida; Poales; Poaceae
Description: long non-coding RNA (SBIC_LNC001858)
Source: RNAcentral